GGUCUGUCAAGUCGGAUGUGAAAUCCCCGGGCUCAACCUGGGAACUGCAUUCGAAACUGGCAGGCUAGAGUCUUGUAGAGGGGGGUAGAAUUCCAGGUGUAGCGGUGAAAUGCGUAGAGAUCUGGAGGAAUACCGGUGGCGAAGGCGGCCCCCUGGACAAAGACUGACGCUCAGGUGCGAAAGCGUGGGGAGCAAACAGGAUUAGAUACCCUGGUAGUCCACGCCGUAAACGAUGUCGAUUUGGAGGUUGUGCCCUUGAGGCGUGGCUUCCGGAGCUAACGCGUUAAAUCGACCGCCUGGGGAGUACGGCCGCAAGGUUAAAACUCAAAUGAAUUGACGGGGGCCCGCACAAGCGGUGGAGCAUGUGGUUUAAUUCGAUGCAACGCGAAGAACCUUACCUG
Molecule: ribosomal RNA, 401 nt
Filed under: Klebsiella pneumoniae
Lineage: Bacteria; Pseudomonadati; Pseudomonadota; Gammaproteobacteria; Enterobacterales; Enterobacteriaceae
Also listed under: 1 other name
Description: bacterial SSU rRNA
Rfam family: Bacterial small subunit ribosomal RNA
Source: RNAcentral